UGGGGAAUUUUGGACAAUGGGGGAAACCCUGAUCCAGCCAUCCCGCGUGUGCGAUGAAGGCCUUCGGGUUGUAAAGCACUUUUGGCAGGAAAGAAACGUCGCGGGUUAAUACCCCGCGGAACUGACGGUACCUGCAGAAUAAGCACCGGCUAACUACGUGCCAGCAGCCGCGGUAAUACGUAGGGUGCAAGCGUUAAUCGGAAUUACUGGGCGUAAAGCGUGCGCAGGCGGUUCGGAAAGAAAGAUGUGAAAUCCCAGAGCUUAACUUUGGAACUGCAUUUUUAACUACCGGGCUAGAGUGUGUCAGAGGGAGGUGGAAUUCCGCGUGUAGCAGUGAAAUGCGUAGAUAUGCGGAGGAACACCGAUGGCGAAGGCAGCCUCCUGGGAUAACACUGACGCUCAUGCACGAAAGCGUGGGGAGCAAACAGGAUUAGAUACCCUGGUAGUCCACGCCCUAAACGAUGUCAACUAGCUGUUGGGGUCUUCGGACCUUGGUAGCGCAGCUAACGCGUGAAGUUGACCGCCUGGGGAGUACGGUCGCAAGAUUAAAACUCAAAGGAAUUGG
RNAcentral lists this ribosomal RNA (565 nucleotides) under uncultured bacterium. RNAcentral describes it as "partial 16S ribosomal RNA". It matches the Rfam family "Bacterial small subunit ribosomal RNA", at positions 355 to 913 of the family's 1533-position model. The record is from RNAcentral.